Chiloscyllium plagiosum (whitespotted bambooshark) is the source of this 299-nucleotide non-coding RNA. NCBI's taxonomy places the organism in Eukaryota, Metazoa, Chordata, Chondrichthyes, Orectolobiformes, Hemiscylliidae. The record is from RefSeq and is a predicted model, not a curated record.
CUGUAUCUGAAUGUUCCAACUUCUGGCAGCAAAUUUUCAAUCCAAAUGAGAGAUUUGGUCUGGCAGCAUCAGUGUGGUGUGAGAAACUACGUUAAAGUUUCAUGUCUCCGUGUAACUCUUCUUCAGAAUAGUGGGAAUCUGCAACCUAAAUGCUCAACUCAACUUUAUUUUCCAUAAUGAAUUAUGAAGUUGAAUAUUUGGAACUAUUUUGGCUAAUGGGGAAAACAAGCUGCCAGUGAGAUAUGACAAUGCAAAGUGUGUGGAAACAGGCCCUUUGGCCCAAUAAGUCCACACCGACC